UACGUAGGGUGCGAGCGUUAAUCGGAAUUACUGGGCGUAAAGCGUGCGCAGGCGGUUCGUUAUGUCCGAUGUGAAAGCCCCGAGCUCAACUUGGGAAUGGCAUUGGAAACUGGCGGGCUGGAGUGUGGCAGAGGGGGGUGGAAUUCCACGUGUAGCAGUGAAAUGCGUAGAUAUCUGGAGGAAUACCGGUGGCGAAGGCGGCAUCCUGGACCAUUACUGACGCUGAAUCGCGAAAGCUAGGGGAGCAAACGGG
RNAcentral lists this ribosomal RNA (253 nucleotides) under uncultured bacterium. RNAcentral's name for it is "partial 16S ribosomal RNA". It matches the Rfam family "Bacterial small subunit ribosomal RNA", at positions 524 to 776 of the family's 1533-position model. The record is from RNAcentral.